AAUAAAGACAUGGAGGUGCUUGAAUUUGCUUGUGGGUUUCGUGUUAUAAUUAUGACAA
This 58-nucleotide small RNA is filed under the name Anaerococcus prevotii DSM 20548. Its description in RNAcentral is "Streptococcus sRNA SpF61". It matches the Rfam family "Streptococcus sRNA SpF61". The record is from Rfam by way of RNAcentral. Lineage: Bacteria; Bacillati; Bacillota; Tissierellia; Tissierellales; Peptoniphilaceae.